AGUGAACGCUGGCGGUAGGCCUAACACAUGCAAGUCGAACGGCAGCACAGUAAGAGCUUGCUCUUACGGGUGGCGAGUGGCGGACGGGUGAGGAAUAAAUCGGCAUCUACUUUUUCGUGGGGGAUAACGUAGGGAAACUUACGCUAAUACCGCAUACGACCUACGGGUGAAAGCAGGGGAUCUUCGGACCUUGCGCGAUUGAAUGAGCCGAGGUCGGAUUAGCUAGUUGGCGGGGUAAAGGCCCACCAAGGCGACGAUCCGUAGCUGGUCUGAGAGGAUGAUCGGCCACACUGGAACUGAGACACGGUCCAGACUCCUACGGGAGGCAGCAGUGGGGAAUAUUGGGCAAUGGGCGCAAGCCUGAUCCAGCCAUGCCGCGUGGGUGAAGAAGGCCUUCGGGUUGUAAAGCCCUUUUGUUGGGGAAGAAAAUCAGCAGGUUAAAACCCCGCUGUUCUGACGGUACCCAAAGAAUAAGCACCGGCUAACUACGUG
RNAcentral lists this ribosomal RNA (492 nucleotides) under uncultured bacterium. RNAcentral's name for it is "partial 16S ribosomal RNA". It matches the Rfam family "Bacterial small subunit ribosomal RNA", at positions 29 to 507 of the family's 1533-position model. The record is from RNAcentral.